RNAcentral lists this ribosomal RNA (496 nucleotides) under Paenibacillaceae bacterium CL6.53. Its description in RNAcentral is "bacterial SSU rRNA". It matches the Rfam family "Bacterial small subunit ribosomal RNA", at positions 17 to 503 of the family's 1533-position model. The record is from RNAcentral. Lineage: Bacteria; Bacillati; Bacillota; Bacilli; Caryophanales; Paenibacillaceae.
CCCUGGCUCAGGACGAACGCGGGCGGCGUGCUUAAUACAUGCAAGUCGAGCGGAUUUAUCCUUCGGGAUAAGUUAGCGGCGGACGGGUGAGUAACACGUAGGUAACCUGCCUAUAAGAUCGGGAUAACUAUCGGAAACGAUAGCUAAGACCGGAUAAUUGGUUUUCUCGCAUGAGAGAAUUAUGAAACACGGAGCAAUCUGUGGCUUAUAGAUGGGCCUGCGGCGCAUUAGCUAGUUGGUAGGGUAACGGCCUACCAAGGCGACGAUGCGUAGCCGACCUGAGAGGGUGAACGGCCACACUGGGACUGAGACACGGCCCAGACUCCUACGGGAGGCAGCAGUAGGGAAUCUUCCGCAAUGGACGCAAGUCUGACGGAGCAACGCCGCGUGAGUGAUGAAGGUUUUCGGAUCGUAAAGCUCUGUUGCCCUAGACGAACAGCAAGAGGAGUAACUGCCUUUUGUGUGACGGUAUAGGAGAAGAAAGCCCCGGCAACUA